RNAcentral lists this ribosomal RNA (256 nucleotides) under uncultured bacterium. RNAcentral describes it as "partial 16S ribosomal RNA". The record is from RNAcentral.
CUGCUGCCUUCCGUAGGAGUUUGGACCGUGUCUCAGUUCCAAUGUGGCCGAUCACCCUCUCAGGUCGGCUACUGAUCGUCGCCUUGGUAGGCCGUUACCCCACCAACUAGCUAAUCAGACGCAGGCCCAUCCUUUGCCGAUAAAUCUUUGACCAAACAGCCAUGUGACUAUUUAGUAUUAUGAGGUUUUAAUCAUCGUUUCCAAUGGCUAUCCCUCUGCAAAGGGCAGGUUGCAUACGUUAGUUACUCCUACCCCG